Molecule: long non-coding RNA, 4497 nt
Organism: Sparus aurata (gilthead seabream)
Lineage: Eukaryota; Metazoa; Chordata; Actinopteri; Spariformes; Sparidae
Source: Ensembl
CAUUUAUCUAUACAUUUAGGGAUGGUCUCAAACUUCACGUUUACUUGCACAAAAAUGAAUUGAAUACCAUAUCACCAUGAGUAAUCACAUCAAUAUCAAUUUACAACUUUCACAUAGAGAAGAGACAGACGAGUCAAAACAUUCUUUAACAAACAUGUCUUGAGGCUGGUGUUUGGAUGUGCGGUGUCGUUCAAACGUUUUGUCCAGCUGGUGGCGUUUUCACAGACUUCUUUUAAAAUAAGAACAGUAGAAGAAGAAUCCACGCGCUUCCCUCUCUUCCGGUCCCUUCCGCCCAUGUCCGCCGCGCGCGCAUCUUCAAGCCAGUUAUCCUCGAGCUCAACAGGGCAGCCCGAGGUCCGCGAGCUCACUGCGGCACCGGCAAGUUUAAUAACAAGGCUGUGGCUGAUGGCUGGUACGAGUCAGAUGGCUCGGAGUCUUUCAUUCAUACAACAUCUUUAAGGGUAAAGUAUUAUAGGUAAAUCAGUAUGAGGUCUUUAUAAAAUGUUUUCAGAUUGCAUUUUCACUUUAAUAGUAAAAUAAGAUUAGGCCAGGCGUCUUAGUGAUCACACCCACAUAAUGUAUAUUACAGGUAUUCAUCAUUUCUCUCUUUCACAGGUCAUUUGAGUAUUGUCUCCAGUGGGAAAUACCCAUGUCUCCCAGGCGCUCCUCCAGAGUACCAAAGGCCUCCAAGAAGAGCUCCCAGAAAAGCGCCAGCCUUGUAAAGGAGGUUCAGCCACAGAGGUUGAAGGGUAAGAGGCCAAAGACAGGGCCGAAGAAGGCCAAAGUCGAUGACAGCAUAGGCAAUACAGAUGAAGGGAGUGACCGUGAUAUCCUCGACAUCAUCAACGGGACAAAUGCUGCGAGACGUGUUGCCAAGGAGGAAGAGAGCUUUGUAAAGGUGACUGAUGAAGGAGUGGAUGAGUCGGAUGAGGACAGGUACUCUGUUUCUAGCAGUGUGGCUUCUGGUCCUUCCCUCCUGCUCAACACCACUGCCAAGAAAUGGAGGCCCUCGAAGGGAGAGUGCUCAGCCUGCCGGAAGCUCUAUCAGAAGGCUAAGAGGAUGAAAGCACCAAUUAAAAAUAAACUCUUAGACAAUGAUCCCGUUUCCCUGACAUGUGACCAGUGGGUACUGAUCAAGACCUGGAGACCGAGGAGGCUGCCUAAUGCAGGAGGGAAACUUUUGACCCAUAUAAAACUGGUUGAGAAAAGACUCAAAGGCAAGAAUGGUGCAAUGCGAUCCAAGCAACGUGCUGUAGAGGGUAAACCAUCAGUCUGUUCGAGGGCGCACACUUUCCUUCAGAGGAACCUUCGACAGUGUGUCAGAGUUCCAAUGAAAAAAGAGAGGAAGAAGAACCGGAGGAAGAGGACAAGAGAUGAUUCUGAGGGUCCUCGCGUCGCCAAGCAGCAGCGUCUGCACGAAAGCGAUCACCGCCAGCACAUCAGUAGUGACGACACCAAUGAUGACAGUCCUGAUCUAGCCAGGGGUAGCAGUAGCUGUGCUGGCCUCGAGGGAUUUAGUGAGCAAGACAUGGAGUAUCUGAGUCCCUCCAAAAUUCCCCUGGAAAAAACCACCAAGCCCAGAGAGGUCCCAACCAAUAAGAAAGCACCAAAGAGGGGUGGGUUCAGAGAGCUGCUUGCCCAGUUGCGCGGCAACAGCAGCAUGGUUGUCAGAGAAACACGUUAGCGAGUUGACUCCCGACUUUUGUUUUUUAAGCCACCAGGCUUUUACUUGUGAUUUUCUCAUUGAUGUUUGGCGUUCUAAAUACCGGUCUGUAAAUACUUGUUGCCAUUCAUGUUGAGUUGUAUUUAACUUUUUACAGAAGUGAAUGACAUGUAACUCUAUUUGAGUUUAUUGGCAAAGUUCUGCUGCAGUGUGCUGCAUGCUGUACUUGCAUGCUAUUUAUUUUUUCUUAAAUUUCCAAAUGGCGUUUAUUUAAAGUUUCAUACAACAGCAUAACUGAAUAAAUGUGUGUUUCCUUUACAUUGAUGCUGUUUUUGGCCGUAUUAGGGAUGCACAAUAAUAUCUGGACGGAGCGGUGUCACAAUUUCGAUUCUGAAUAGAAAGCGGUCAAAAUGAGCUUUCAAUUUGAUCAUCAAUUUCUAACGCAGUAUCAAUGUUCAGAUCAGUCAGUUCUUUAUUUGUGCCAAUUCACAACAAAAGUCAUCUGUCACUUUCAAAACUGAGCAGGUCUAAAUGUAGGUCUCACGUGCUUCAUUUAAAAGAUAUAAAAAAAAUGACAGCUAGCGAUUAAGAUGAUCUACUUGCUUGUAUCUGAGGUAACUGUGACAGCAGCGAUGAUGUUGGGUUAUUAUCAUUUUUCAGGUCCCUUCACUCAUUUGUUUGGGAAGAGGUUUACUUCAGACAGAUUUGAGCGACUGAACCGUGUGCUGUUGUCCCACAAUGCACUGAAGAAACUGAGUUUGUACUCACAUGCACAAAGUGAAGUUUAAAUGGCAGCGACAGUCUAAUAGCAAAUGAUUGUAAAAUUUAGUCUAACUAUUAAGGUGUGUUGGAAAAACUACAGCAACCAUAAAGAUUAGCGUUGUAUAUACAUUUUGCCAUGGGUUCUAUCAAACUGCAUCUCUACCCCAGCACACCGUCAAGCUCGUGCGCCUGCUUCAGAUGGAGUGCAUGCUAACGCUUAAAGCUGAGCAGCUAUAGUGAAGAUUUCAGGUUAACAUCUCAUCAAAUCAAUUUGGAAACAUGAAAUGUUCUGUAAGACUACACUUUACCCUCUCAACUCAUCUUUUAAACGAAUGAAUGAUCCCAGGUGAUCAUUGUGCCUUGUAGGACCCUUCUCUAAAAGCCCACAUGGUGGCGCCACUUACUAAAGGAAUCAGCCCUCCAGUUACAGUAUAUCAGUUCUUUGCCAUUCAGUGUACCUUGAUACAGAAUACAGUUUGACUUGUCCUAUCAGGGAGAAGCACAGGAGUGAUAGAUAACAUCAAUGAUCACAAAGUGUCCCAGUGAACGAGAACGUGCAGCAAGAAGAGCCACAGAAGCAGUGUGUCUAAAUGGAAUUCAUCCGUUAAUGAAUGUGAUAAGUUACACCUGAGUUUUGUGCUCACAGCAUCAGCUUUGGGGGGAAAAAAGUUAUCAGCAGCACAAUCGAUAUUAUUACUUACUGUGGGUUCAGGUUUCUGUUCCAAGAAGCAUGUUGACCAUGUUAUCUUGAUAACUUUUGUGAGGGUGAACCAGGAAUAGGUUAUUAUUAGUGAGUGUUUCACAGCAGUGUAUUUUUUAGUUGUGUGUGCUGAUACCAGUGAGUGUGGAGGAAGGGUGGGCAAAAUGAGACAGAGAUAAGGAACUGAGAGUGUAGUCUUGAAGGUUUGACUUUGUUUUUUGGGGGGUGCCGCUGUUUACUUAUGGGAUUAGUGUAUUGGGAGAGGAUGGAGACUUCCAGCCAGGGCAGCGAGUGUCAAGCCAGGAAAAAGUGUCUGCUGACAGGCAUCACACACGUGGAUGUGGUCUGUGGAGUUUAGUCACACAAUCAACGCACUGAUUGCAUUGAAAUGUCAUUCAAGUUAAAAUGACAAAUGAAUAAUUGAAUAAAAAAAAAAAAUUCAAUCACAGAAUUUAAUAUUUAACGUUGACAUUACUGGUUCCGAUUAAUGACGUGUUGAAUUAAAAGACUAACCUGUGUGCCAGCACUGUCAACACAGCAUCUGGCCAAUCAGAGCCCCAGCCGUCGCUCUGCUGCCGACACAUCUUAAACCGAAACGGCCAUGAAAUGAAAACCAAAGCAGGAAGCGAAUGAACUGUGAGAGGGUACUUGAUUUAAAGAUGCAUUAUGUAACAUUUCGGCAUUAAAUGUCUAAAAACAGCUACACUACAGUUGUGUACUAACAGUAUCCCAAAUGUUUCUGACAUGUCCAAAGAGUACAUGUCAGAGGAGAUCCAUUAUGUCGUUCAAGGUAACGGUGCGUUUAAUAUGGUCUCCAGGACAAAGUCACAGAGUGAGGAGGGAGGUUUGGCGAACGUGUCUGAACAUAACCUGAUUAAAAUGUUCAUAUGUUACCUAAUCAGUAAACAUUUUCCGUCUGAGUCACAUCAGAUUCUCAUCAGCAACAGUGGUUGUUUAACAAUGAGAACAACUCCCACCAUCCCACACAACGUACAUUUAGUUUUGUUUUCAUUGAGACUCCUAACGGCAAAAAUGACAUGCUGUGUGUUUUAAAAGUCUUUAAAUGAAAUUGCUACUUCAUUUUUAAAAUUCAGUUAUUCAUUCUAUUAAAGACAAACUGAGGAAUCCAGAAUGUGCCAAUUGAAUUCCCUCUUUAUAUGCGUCCUUUAACUUCAGUAUUGAUUCAUUAAAGGGGCACUAUGUAGUUUUGGUGAGGAAAUUCAAACUCAGAAUUUUUAUGUUUACAAUAUUGAUGAGGUAAUAAUACAAGAGAUAUGUAAUUUUCUAUAACUGAAUAAACCAGCUGUUCUCAGAGGAAAAUGUUUGAAGCCAAAAAGGUGGCAGGGUCCGCCACAUAUAAACAAAGUCAAAC